UACGAAGGGAGCAAGCGUUGUUCGGAAUUACUGGACGUAAAGGGCGCGUAGGCGGUUAAAUAAGUCAGAUGUGAAAGUCUUGGGCUCAACCUGAGGAUUGCAUAUGAUACUGUUUUGACUAGAGAUCGAUAGAGGGAAGAGGAAUUGCGAGUGUAGAGGUGAAAUUCGUAGAUAUUCGCAAGAACACCAGUGGCGAAGGCGUCUUCCUGGGUCGAUACUGACGCUAAUGCGCGAAAGCGUGGGGAGCAAACAGG
This 254-nucleotide ribosomal RNA is filed under the name uncultured bacterium. Its description in RNAcentral is "partial 16S ribosomal RNA". It matches the Rfam family "Bacterial small subunit ribosomal RNA", at positions 524 to 776 of the family's 1533-position model. The record is from RNAcentral.